AUACCCAUGAGCUUCAGCCCCCGAAUUCACGGCCAGGUAAAAACGCGUUCAAUACGCCACUCAACGCGCAUGAGCAUUGCGACCAUCAGAUUAAUUCCACCCUCAAACGAAAAGAUCGAAACAAAACUCACCUCGAGGUCCGGGGUACUCUUCUCCUCGUGGUUGAUUUGGACGAAGAUGAAGCCUUCGUGUUCGGAUUCGUGCGUUGUGUUGUUGUGAUGAAGACUGAAUACGAAGUUUGGUUCAGCUCCUUGCGUUGCAUUGUUGUAAUGAGGUGAAGAAUUAAGAUGAUAUUUGAUUUGUGCCUUGCGUGGAGGUGAAGAGGAAGACGUUCGAACUCGCGUCUCUGCAAUUUGUGACGAAACUCGAGGCAAUGCAUUGGAAUUAUGGUUGUCAUUAGCCUUGGGGAUUGGUCGUGUUUUGGAAUGCUAUGGACUGUAAACCAGAGCUGCUUGGAUGCUUGUUGUACUUUGGAAUUGAUUAGAUUUAUAAUGAAAUAAUUUGGAUGUAAGUAUGACUUGAUGUAUGUAUAUUGAAUGUAUGUAUGGAAAUGUUGAUGUAUCAAUGGAAUUUAUAUGAACAUGGUUGUAAUGGUUGUAAUUGUAAUGUGAUAUAAUGGUUGAAUAUAUGAAUUUUGUUUAAUGGAAA
Molecule: long non-coding RNA, 648 nt
Organism: Lathyrus oleraceus (garden pea)
Lineage: Eukaryota; Viridiplantae; Streptophyta; Magnoliopsida; Fabales; Fabaceae
Exons: 2
Source: RefSeq, a predicted model, not a curated record